UGGGUAAUCUGCCCUCGAUUCUGGGAUAGCCCCGGGGAAACCCGGAUUAAUACCGGAUAGCCUUUCGAGCUUACGAGCUCUUGAGGAAAUGUAGCUUCGGCCUACGAUCGAGGAUGAGCCCCGCGGCGGAUUAGCUUGUUGGUGGGGUAAUGGCCCACCAAGGCUACGAUCCGUAGCUGGUCUGAGAGGACGAUCAGCCACACUGGGACUGAGACACGGCCCAGACCUCCGUACGGGAGCAG
RNAcentral lists this ribosomal RNA (242 nucleotides) under uncultured bacterium. Its description in RNAcentral is "partial 16S ribosomal RNA". It matches the Rfam family "Bacterial small subunit ribosomal RNA", at positions 118 to 347 of the family's 1533-position model. The record is from RNAcentral.